Thalassophryne amazonica is the source of this 2027-nucleotide long non-coding RNA. RefSeq lists it as uncharacterized. The record is from RefSeq and is a predicted model, not a curated record. The transcript is spliced from 2 exons. Lineage: Eukaryota; Metazoa; Chordata; Actinopteri; Batrachoidiformes; Batrachoididae.
AAAAUGGGGGGGGGGGGGGGGGUUGUGCAUCUACCUGAGACACAAUAAGACAAAAUAAAAUCAUGGACGUAUUUUAGCAUGAAAUUUAUUAAGGUACCAUCUGAAACUGUAACUUGUACCGAAUGAUACUUUUCAACACAAAAUUUAAAGUUUCUGUAAUGUAGGUUUAUCAGGGAAGGUGUUUAUUACUGUUGGAUUGGGAUGGCAAUUAUUAUUUAUCUGCAAAAUAAAAUAUUCUUUACACUGAUGGACAGAGAAACAUAAAAAUUUGUAAAAUUGUUCCUUAUUAAGAAAUCAAGAGAGAGCGUGAGAAAGAACAAUUUGCAUGAAAGCAGUGAAUCAGAGGAAAAAAAGGUUAUUUUGUGAUUGGUUGUUUCAUGGUGCUUAUAUGUGCUAAGAGAGAGGAAAAAAGUCGCAUCUCCACACAGCCCCACGAAGAAAGGAUUUUGUGUGAUUGCAGUAUAUGUGCUGCAGCAUUUUCUCUGCUGUUGGCCACUCUGCUCCGAAAGAGAGUGCACGGUACAUACUCAAAUUGAUGCACAGCUGUAAAGAAAGACAUGCUGAAGCACUCAGAUUAUACUAAUGGUGGAAAAGAGAAAAAUGAUGAGCCAUUCUUCUGAACUGUUUUCAGAAUGAAAUGGACCAGAACGAUCCAGCACUGAACUACUAUCCACAGCUUUAAGUGCAACGGACCGACGCACUCCAUCCAAAUCGACCUAUUUCUAUAAUCAGCGACGUCAACACUUUGUUGCAGCCUUAGAACUGGCACAAGUUCAAUGUCAGAUAUUCCUUCUGAUGCAAUUCCAGCUCUACAUGGAGAAACACAGCUCCUGGUGUUCACACGCAGUCUCACUACCGAGUUCUGACCAAGUGGUAAACUUGGAUGGCCUCAGAGGAAGCCCAAACGGAAGAAGAAAAAGUUGCAGUUCUUUGACUGGCCACUUGAGGCUGGCUCAAAAACAGGGCACAUUCCCAUAGGAGCCCAGAUUAAAAUAUCCCAUCUUAGAGCAGACAUGAACAUGUGUAAAGCCUGACACAAAAAUGGUUUUGGUUGCUAUAGUUUCCUCCGCUAAGACUACUAUACGGGCGGUAAAUUUUAUGUAAGACAUUUAAGCCAUGAAGUUCUGUAAAAUUGGGGACAUGGCUGUUUUGAGUGGCAGUGGCUGAGUCCAGCGUCUCACUCUCUCGUAGCAUCCAACCGUAACUUAUGCUGGGAAGGGCCGCUAGCUGUUAUGGAGGGCUGCGUCUGUUUUGUCUGGAGUAUUUUAUUAUAAACACUUGGAACAAGAUGGCUUGUGUGUUGAAACAUCUUAAGAGAUCAUCUAAGACGCCCCUGCUGCAAUAUUCCCACUGAGUGAAAUUCUCCUGGUAUUUAAUGUUGUACAAAAACAGCGUUAGCACUUUUAGCAGCUAUCAGUAGCCUGAUCCGUUAGGCCCUGUUAAUGUAUAAUUACUGAGAAAAUAAGUGGCUCAUAACUUUUAAUGUCCACACCAAAACAAAUUGUUAUGAGAACCACUGCGCAGUCCCCAAAAAGUAUGAUUUAAUAAACACCUAAAAAGAGGUUAGCCUGCUAGCUCAGCUGGUUCAGACUUGAAGGUAGGUGCAUGUUCAGGCUUCUUUCAUCACAUACUGAGCCACCUACACUCCACCCCUUUAUGCUUUAAUGAGUUCAUCAUGAAUCAGUGUGGCCGCUGCUGCCAACAUGGCAACGCCCAGACACGAGCUUCAUAUUGGCUGUGCUGAGUCUCUAUAGAAAACCUAAUGUCAUACAGGCUUUGUCCAGUAUAUAUACAGUUUAUGGUUCUGACAGGAUGACGUGGGCUUACAGCAGCACAACAAAACCCAAACAUACUGUAUUAUCCAGACUGUAUCUUUGAAGUGUAUCAGUCUAACCAGAGCUUCCAGCAUAAAACAGAAAUUGUUCUGUUGAGCAUAAUGCUAAAAAUCUAUGUGUAUGAUGACCUAUAAGGAUUUGGAUUACAUAACACACACAGCCGUGUCUAACACCAACAGUACUUUUCAGCAA